RNAcentral lists this non-coding RNA (21 nucleotides) under Caenorhabditis elegans. The record is from RNAcentral. Lineage: Eukaryota; Metazoa; Nematoda; Chromadorea; Rhabditida; Rhabditidae.
UAGACUCGAAUUGUGCGUUAA